Molecule: unclassified non-coding RNA, 356 nt
Filed under: uncultured Ascomycota
Lineage: Eukaryota; Fungi; Ascomycota
Description: sequence contains ITS2
Rfam family: 5.8S ribosomal RNA (bases 1-154)
Source: RNAcentral
AACUUUCGACAACGGAUCUCUUGGCUCUCGCAUCGAUGAAGAACGCAGCGAAAUGCGAUACGUAAUGUGAAUUGCAGAAUUUAGUGAAUCAUCGAAUUUUUGAACGCAUAUUGCGCCUCUUGGUAUUCCUUGAGGCAUAUCUGUUCGAGCGCCGUUUUAAUACUAUGGCUUUGCCUUGUGUUAAUGGUGUUCUGUCGAGAACCUAUUGAAAUUGUCAAGUCGGCGUUGAUACAAAGUCUGAAUUCGCAGCAAAAUGUGAUAGAUGACUUGUACUCAGUUGCCUUACUACUGAAAAUCAUGGCCUCGGAUCAGAUAGGGAUACCCGCUGAACUUAAGCAUAUCAAUAAGCGGAGGCU